This 460-nucleotide ribosomal RNA is filed under the name uncultured bacterium. RNAcentral describes it as "partial 16S ribosomal RNA". It matches the Rfam family "Bacterial small subunit ribosomal RNA", at positions 338 to 795 of the family's 1533-position model. The record is from RNAcentral.
CCUACGUGUGGCAGCAGUGAGGAAUAUUGGUCAAUGGGCGCGAGCCUGAACCAGCCAAGUAGCGUGAAGGAUGACUGCCCUACGGGUUGUAAACUUCUUUUAUAAAGGAAUAAAGUGGGGCACGUGUGCCUUUUUGUAUGUACUUUAUGAAUAAUGAUCGGCUAACUCCGUGCCAGCAGCCGCGGUAAUACGGAGGAUCCGAGCGUUAUCCGGAUUUUUUGGGUUUAAGGGGAGCUUAGAUGGGUUGUUAAGUCAGUUGUGAAAGUUUUCGGUUCAACCGGAAAAUUGCAAUUGAUCCUGGCAGUCUUGAGUACAGGUGAGGUAGGCGGAAUUCGUGGUGUAGCGGUGAAAUGCUUAGAUAUCACGAAGAACUCCGAUUGCGAAGGCAGCUUACUAAACUGCCACUGACAUUGAUGCUCGAAAGUGUGGGUAUCAAACAGGAUUAGAUACCCGUGUAGUC